AGGUCUCCUUUGUGGCCCCAGCCUGCUCUGUGUGCAGCAGUGUUGGUUAUGGUGGUUCACAAGUUCUGUUAACCCCUUGCACACAGCUUUACUAACAGUGUCUGUCUCUCAUGCAUGUGCUUAACCUGCAAUGCAUAGGAAAGGCGAACUUUAAAUCUCUGCUAAUGUUUCAAUGUUGAGUUUCGGGAAUAUUCAGUGAAGAUAUUAUGCCAUACAGGUUUAAAAACUUGUAAGUCAUGUUCCUUGUGUCUUUGCUAUACAAAAUGAAAUUGCCAGUUAAAUCAAAUUGGCAAAUACUUACAAAUAUUCUAAGAAUAUUUUUAUAUUCUUCUCAGCUAAUUGAAAAAGUAUUGUAUCACCUUUUUUUUUGUCGCCAAAUUCAGUAUUAAAAAUGUGAGAGAGAAGCAACUAAGAAAGCAUAACUACAGACAUCCUCCCGGGAGGAAAGAGCAUGAAGGCAUGAGGCACAGGUUUUCUUUUGUUGAGUUUGUUUUUGCCUAUACAUCAAAAAGAUAUUACAUACCUAGUGCCUCAAGGAAUUUGGAGAUAAAUGUAAGUAGGCUUUUAUCUGUUCUCAGCAAGGAUAGCUACCAGUUUUCAAUAUAAAUGUGUGAAUCAGACAUUUUGGGUUCUAAAUGAUAUUAGUUAUUUUUUAAUUCAUGUUUCAUUAUGAAGUUCAAGCCUGAUCUUAUGAAGGAACCAAAAUGUGUUCUGAUUUGAAAUAGAAAUGUACAGUAGCCCUCUGGAAAGCAAAGCAGGCAUUCAGAAAGGCGGCUCAGGAUGCGCCCAGAGGAGUAAGCGUCGCCCUCAUGGACAGCAUUCGUGGACACCCCCACCCCCACAUGAUCUAACAUAGCUCGGCUGCCACUGAAAGCCUCCCUGAAGUGAGCUGGUCCAUGGGGAUUCAAGGUUAAGACUUGGGGACCCAAAAGAUGGGAGGCUACAGGCAGUGCUGAUCACACACUCUGGUACAUGGCUUGGGGUGUCAGUACUCAUCAGGAGCAUCACAGAGGUGUCAGUACUCAUCAGGAGCAUCACAGAGGUAUCAGUACUCAUCAGGAGCAUCACAGAGGUGUCAGUACUCAUCAGGAGCAUCACAGAGGUGUCAGUACUCAUCAGGAGCAUCACAGAGGUAUCAAUACUCAUCAGGAGCAUCACAGAGGUGUCAGUACUCAUCAGGAGCAUCACAGAGGUGUCAGUACUCAUCAGGAGCAUCACAGAGGUCGCUGAUGUUCUCACCUAGUCAAAUGGCUCUAAUCUUCAGGGUGUAAUCUCUCUUUUAGGACUUUUUUUUUUUUUUUUUGACAGGCAGAGUGGACAGUGAGAGAGAGAGACAGAGAGAAAGGUCUUCCUUUCCUUUGGUUCACCCCCCAAAAUGGCCGCCAUGGCUGGCACGCUGCACCGAUCUGAAGCCAGGAGCCAGGCGUCCCCUCCUGGCGUCCCAUGCGGGCACAGGUGCCCAAGCACUUGGGCCAUCCUCCACUGCCUUCCUGGGCCACAGCAUAGAGCUGAACUGGAAGAGGAGCAGCCAGGACUAGGAACCUGGCGCCCAUAUGGGAUGCUGGCGCUGCAGGCGGAGGACCAGCCAAGUGAGCCAUGACGCCGGCCUCUUUCAGGACUUUCUAAGACUUUUAGACAAAUCUUGGAUCGAACAAAUAUAUCCACUGUAUUAAAUAAAUAUCUUAAAGUCUCAUGUGGGCUGGACAUUGUGGCAUAGCAGCUUAAGCUGCUGCUUGGGACACCUGCCUCCUGUAUCAGAGUGCCUGGGAUCGAAUCCUGCCUCCAUUUCUGAUCCAGCUUCCUGCUAAUGUGCUUUAGAGGCAGCAAAUGAUGUAUUUGUGUCCCUGCCUCCCACAUGGGAAACCUGGAGGGAGCUCUUGGCUCCUGGCUUGGCCCUGACCCAGCCCUGGCUGUUGUGGGCAUCUGGAGAGUAAAUCAGCAAUGGAAGAUAUUUCUCUGUUUUCUCCUCUUUUUCUGUCACUCUGCCUUUCAAACAAACCAUAAAAAAUAAAAUUUUAUGUGUAACAGUUAGGAAAGUAAACAAGCAACUUAGAGGCAUUCUUAUUGCUCUUUAAAAAAGUCUUAAUAUCUAUUUAAAUGAAAGUGGGAGAUAAGGAAGGAGGGAGAGAGAGAAAGAAUGAGUGAAUGAAUGAGCAAGGAAGAAAAUCUUCCACUGCUGGUUCACUUCCCAGAUAAUUGCAACACCAUGGUUAGGCCAGGCCAAAACCUGGAGCCUGGAAUUUAACCUGGGUUUCCCAUGUGGAUGGAGGGUCGGUCCCAAGUACUUGGACCAUCACUUGCUGCCUUCCAGGUUAUGCAAUAGCAGGAAGCUGGAAUCGGAAGUAGAGCCUGGACCAUGCACUCUAAUGUGGGGCGUGGGCCUCUUAGCCACUCCGUCAAAUGCCCACCCCUUAAUUUUAUUUAAAACAAAUUUUUCUUGGCCAGCGCCGCGGCUCACUAGGCUAAUCCUCUGCCUAGCGGUGCCGGCACACCGGGUUCUAGUCCCGGUCGGGGCACCGGAUUCUGUCCCGGUUGCCCCUCUUCCAGGCCAGCUCUCUGCUGUGGCCAGGGAGUGCAGUGGAGGAUGGCCCAGGUGCUUGGGCCCUGCACCCCAUGGGAGACCAGGAGAAGCACCUGGCUCCUGGCUCCUGCCAUCGGAUCAGUGCGGUGCGCCGGCCGCAGCGCGCCGGCUGCGGCGGCCAUUGGAGGGUGAACCAAUGGCAAAAGGAAGACCUUUCUCUCUGUCUCUCUCUCUCACUGUCCACUCUGCCUGUCAAAAAAUAAAAAAAUUAAAAAAAAAAAUAAAUAAAAAAACCAAAUUUUUCUUAAUUUUGAAUCUAUUAUUUAUUGUAUUCUUUGAAGAUUACAAAAGAAUAGAUGUGAAACUUAAAAAGAUAAUAUACUAUAUUAGUUUUCCUUUACUGAAAAUACUUGAGGCAACUAGCUUUAUAAGAGGAAGAUUUAUUCAGAUCAUGA
This is a non-coding RNA of Oryctolagus cuniculus (rabbit), 2976 nucleotides long. The record is from RefSeq and is a predicted model, not a curated record. NCBI's taxonomy places the organism in Eukaryota, Metazoa, Chordata, Mammalia, Lagomorpha, Leporidae.